UCAUAAGUGAUGCUGUUAUUUCACCCCCUCGUUGAAGCUCCUCGUCAUCCUUGAAAGUGUGGACUCCACUUUUACAUAGAGCAUCGUAAAGAUUGCCGGUAAAACCAUGGCGAGUGUCAGCUCCUCUGAAACUUAGGAACACGUUAUAGGUGAAUUUGGAGGAGGAUGAAGAAGAGGAGGAAGAUGAUUGUGGCAUAGCCAUGAGAAUAGAGGUAUGAGAAAUGAGAUAUGAGAAUUGAUAUGGUAUAUAUAUUAUAUGGUUGAAGUAGGAGAAGAAGUAUAGUCUUUGGAUCUACCAAAAAAAAAAAAAAAGAAGUAUAGUCUUUGGAAAAUUUAUGUCAUUGCAACUACUACAAUUGCAAAGUCAACCAACCAAGUGUGUCUACUUCUAAUAUACUCCUAGUAUACGGAGAGUUUUACUCAAAAGACUAGUUCAAUGUGAGAAAAUAUCAUGGCUUAAAUAUCACAUCAAACACUUUUAUAUACUCGAUAUGGGAUUUAUAACAUUAUCACGCCCUUUAUGAGCCGAUGUCCACUAUUAGCUGACGUCCAUGACCUUUGAUGGCUUCACUCACUUAUUAGUAUUCGGUGGAACACCUUAAUCCAACCUAUGGGUGAUCCUUUCUGUGGUCUAACUCUCAACGAGAGCACCAAUUGUUCGGAUUUAAAUUCAUGAAGAGAGCUCAACCCAAACACUUUUAUCUACUCGACGUGGGACUACAAAAAUUGAGCCAUAAAAUGUAAGUCGUGGAAAAUAAAAUUGUAUAUGUAUAAAUACCACUAUUAAAAUUUUAAAAUAGUUCUAAUGAUAAGACUUGUGAAAAGAAUCCAGUUCUCUUCUAAGAAUAUUCUCAAACUAUUUAACUAUGAAUGUGCAUGUUAAGAAUAGUCUCGAUAAUUUAGGUCAACUCAAAUAUUUUGAAUUAUGCUAUUUAUCCAACAAAAAUUACUCGCACCCCACUAAACUUUCUAAAAUACUCAUGUGUGAGUUAACUCACACAAGUGUAAAAAAACGUGACUUAAUUUUAACACAUACGUGAGUUAACUCACGCAGAGAUAUUUUGGAAAGUUCAGUUGAGUGUAAGUGAUUUUGUUAGGUAAAGAGCAGAAUUCAAAUAUUUUUUAAUGGGAGGAAGAAAGAAUACUAUUUGAGACAAUUCGUUUGCCCAUAUUUUGUUUGGGACAAGGCAAGUUGGUUGCAACUCGAAAUUACUGUGUCUGAAGGAGUCUUUGGGUUGGACUCAGUCUUGGUCACUCCUAAAAUGAAUACUUUAAACAAUACUUUCAAUAAUUGAAUUUUUUUAAG
RNAcentral lists this long non-coding RNA (1306 nucleotides) under Medicago truncatula (barrel medic). Its description in RNAcentral is "long non-coding RNA (MTRU_LNC006893)". The record is from RNAcentral. Lineage: Eukaryota; Viridiplantae; Streptophyta; Magnoliopsida; Fabales; Fabaceae.